This 537-nucleotide ribosomal RNA is filed under the name uncultured bacterium. RNAcentral's name for it is "bacterial SSU rRNA". It matches the Rfam family "Bacterial small subunit ribosomal RNA", at positions 8 to 526 of the family's 1533-position model. The record is from RNAcentral.
AGAGUUUGAUCAUGGCUCAGGACGAACGCUGGCGGCGUGCCUAAUACAUGCAAGUCGAGCGGAUGAUGAAGAAGCUUGCUUCUUCUGAUUUAGCGGCGGACGGGUGAGUAACACGUGGGCAACCUGCCCUGUAGAUUGGGAUAACUCCGGGAAACCGGGGCUAAUACCGAAUAAUCCAUUACCUCACAUGAGGAAAUGUUAAAAGACGGUUUCGGCUGUCACUACAGGAUGGGCCCGCGGCGCAUUAGCUAGUUGGUGAGGUAACGGCUCACCAAGGCGACGAUGCGUAGCCGACCUGAGAGGGUGAUCGGCCACACUGGGACUGAGACACGGCCCAGACUCCUACGGGAGGCAGCAGUAGGGAAUCUUCCACAAUGGACGAAAGUCUGAUGGAGCAACGCCGCGUGAGUGAAGAAGGUUUUCGGAUCGUAAAACUCUGUUGUGAGGGAAGAACAAGUACGAGAGUAACUGCUCGUACCUUGACGGUACCUCAUUAGAAAGCCACGGCUAACUACGUGCCAGCCGCCGCGGUAAUAC